Molecule: long non-coding RNA, 1629 nt
Organism: Ornithodoros turicata
Lineage: Eukaryota; Metazoa; Arthropoda; Arachnida; Ixodida; Argasidae
Exons: 2
Source: RefSeq, a predicted model, not a curated record
GCAGAUGACUCAGUGUUUCAAAGCGUAUUGAAAGCGACGACCCGUAAAAUUAUGCUGGCUUUCUGUUUAGUGUGGCUUUGUGAGUGCGUGGGAGAGGAUUAUAUACUGCACAUCUGCAUGGCGGCUGUACGAGAUAUUGCUGAGAGACAGCCUCCAAUUCGAGACGUCAUAAGAAACGGAAUUCAAUAGAAAUAUUCGCUUCUUUCAACACAUAGAUUGCUGGAACGAUACAUAAGGAUGUGAAGUAUGGUUUCGUUGGAUUUCCGCGCGUGAAGACUGAAUCGGAUUGAGACAGCCGUUGACACUCGCAGCUACAAAUGGACGCUCCGUACGGUUCCGCGCACAAGACAUUACACACGACUAGGUGUCCUCCCCAAGACAUCACUCCUAUGUCUUUCCAGGACGUCCAUCAAGAGGGAGAGACCGAUACAAGUCUUCGGCUUCAGGUGCCGCUGUGGGGCGCGUCGCAGUGGCAAGGGCAACCAAGCGGCCGUAAUUGCCAUUUAUUUGCGUGCCUGAGUACUGGCUACACCACGUGAACACACCCUUCUUCCUUGUGACGUCGUCGGAGAAAUUUGUGCCGUGCAUCUUCCCACAGCGCUCGUGGUGGGAGUGUGCUACCUUCUCGCCUCGCGCGGCGCAGGAACGCGUCCGCGACUUUAUCGUGUGCGUACUCGCGCCUUACCACACGCACCAGCUUCUCGUAGUCGGAGACUUCAACGUGCACGUUUCACUGGCCAAGAACACCACCUUCCCAAGUUCGUAUGUCCAAACAGCUGGACCUUCCGUUGUGCACCGACACUAGACGUGGCUGAUGGAUAGACUUGGUGUUCCAGAACAGCCCCCUCGUUCAGGACACCAUUCACCUCGCUCCCCAUUUCGACGACCCCGCAAAUCAAUAUUGUCUACAAGCUUCCAUCCGACCUAAUUUCACCACACGUGCAGCUGAAGCUUGAAUUUCGCGCUACGCGAGCCAUAACCAUCCUGUCAUUUUAUUUUAUUUUAGUUUUUUAUUCUGUGAAUGAAUGACGCUACGGAUAUUCGUGAUACAGGUGUUCGAAUGUUCCAGACAGAUACUCUUUCCUGGGCUGCCUGGGAGCCGGGUUUCUUUUUCUUUUUUGUGUCUUUUUCAUUUAUUUAUUUAUUUAUUUCUCUUUUUGUUUUAUUUCCUUUUCUUUGAAAAGAGUAAGAUAUGCACUCAUUUUGGAAGAGUAGUAUUUAUUGAUAUUGCGCAAAAUCUAUGGAAUCAGACCGCGGUCCCGCUGACAUCGCUCCAUUAUAUAUUUCGAGAAAAUUUUGACUUUAUUUCUCUCAGAAAAUAUGUUGUGCCGAAACAGGUACGACACCAUCUUGAAGUGACGUGGUCGGUGACCCGUAACUGCUCAUCUACGAGGAACACUGCAGGCGUUUUGAAAGCUGCAAAAUAUGGACCGCACCCAAGUGCUGCGGUGUACCAGGACCGAUUGCGUUGGCGCACCGCUGCCUCCACCCUCAUUUAUAGUCACCUUAGUUUAGAGCUGCUGGCUGUAGAGUGUACCCCUCCUUGUACCCAUCCCUUUGUUUUUGAUUUCUGCCAAAUCCAUGGAUGGCCUGAAAAGCCAUCUUAGAAUGAAUAUAUAUAAGAUCACA